CUACGGGAGGCAGCAGUGGGGAGUAUUGGACAAUGGGGGCAACCCUGAUCCAGCAAUGCCGCGUGGGUGAUGAAGGCCUUCGGGUUGUAAAGCCCUUUCGGCGGGGACGAUGAUGACGGUACCCGCAGAAGAAGCCCCGGCUAACUUCGUGCCAGCAGCCGCGGUAAUACGAAGGGGGCUAGCGUUGUUCGGAAUGACUGGGCGUAAAGGGCGCGUAGGCGGCGCAUUUAGUCAGGCGUGAAAGCCCUGGGCUCAACCUAGGAAUUGCGCUUGAUACUGGUGUGCUGGAGUGCGGGAGAGGAUGGUGGAAUUCCCAGUGUAGAGGUGAAAUUCGUAGAUAUUGGGAAGAACACCGGUGGCGAAGGCGGCCAUCUGGACCGUUACUGACGCUGAGGCGCGAAAGCGUGGGGAGCAAACAGGAUUAGAAACCCUUGUAGUCC
This 440-nucleotide ribosomal RNA is filed under the name uncultured bacterium. Its description in RNAcentral is "bacterial SSU rRNA". It matches the Rfam family "Bacterial small subunit ribosomal RNA", at positions 339 to 796 of the family's 1533-position model. The record is from RNAcentral.